Daucus carota subsp. sativus is the source of this 375-nucleotide long non-coding RNA. RefSeq lists it as uncharacterized. The record is from RefSeq and is a predicted model, not a curated record. The transcript is spliced from 3 exons. Lineage: Eukaryota; Viridiplantae; Streptophyta; Magnoliopsida; Apiales; Apiaceae.
CACUGUGGGGUGCACAUGUGUAUUUAGACCUCUUUGUAUGGCCUUUGCUGGAUGAUUGCUCUUGUUCAUACUGCUGGUUGUUUAAUCUCAAAAUUAGUUGUUUAAGGCAUUUGCAAAACCAAUAAAUGGUGCCAUAUUCAUUUUCAACCCAAGGACAGAGCUGCUGUUUUUAAAGGUAAUCCACACUAGUUUAUGGGCGGGGCAGAAACUUCAGCUGUCAUGGGAACUGUCCACACUUGCUCAGAGGCUCAAGCAGAUCAUGAGCAUCUUAAGAGGAAUUUAGAUAUCUGCUACGCCUACCUACACAAAGAUGCGAAGAUGAGAGCUGCAGCCUACAAGAGUCAUUGAAGCAUUUGUUUGAUGCCACUAGUUGGA